Molecule: RNA transcript, 10280 nt
Organism: Pan troglodytes (chimpanzee)
Lineage: Eukaryota; Metazoa; Chordata; Mammalia; Primates; Hominidae
Gene: FZD3
Gene name: frizzled class receptor 3
Exons: 9
Source: RefSeq, a predicted model, not a curated record
GAGCUCGCUCCCCGGGCCGCGCGCCCCGGUGCUCGCGAAAGCUCGCUGUCGCUGGGAGGCGCGCGCCGGCGUUCCUCGGCCGCUCCGGGUACCUGAGGGACGCGCGGCCGCCCCCAGCAGGCGGUGCAGCCCCCCCACCCCUUGGAGCCAGGCGCCGGGGUCUGAGGAUAGCAUUUCUCAAGACCUGACUUAUGGAGCACUUGUAACCUGAGAUAUUUCAGUUGAAGGAAGAAAUAGCUCUUCUCCUAAGAUGGAAUCUGUGGUUUGGGAAUGUGGUUGAUCAACUUGAUAUGUUGGCCAAAUGUGCCCCAUGUAAUAAAAUGAAAAGAAGAGACAAGAUGAUGUCAUUUUCCCAUAUUGUGAAACCAAAAACAAACGCCUUUUGUGAGACCAAGCUAACAAACCUCUGACGGUGCGAAGAGUAUUUAACUGUUUGAAGAAUUUAACAGUAAGAUACAGAAGAAGUACCUUCGAGCUGAGACCUGCAGGUGUAUAAAUAUCUAAAAUACAUAUUGAAUAGGCCUGAUCAUCUGAAUCUCCUUCAGACCCAGGAAGGAUGGCUAUGACUUGGAUUGUCUUCUCUCUUUGGCCCUUGACUGUGUUCAUGGGGCAUAUAGGUGGGCACAGUUUGUUUUCUUGUGAACCUAUUACCUUGAGGAUGUGCCAAGAUUUGCCUUAUAAUACUACCUUCAUGCCUAAUCUUCUGAAUCAUUAUGACCAACAGACAGCAGCUUUGGCAAUGGAGCCAUUCCACCCUAUGGUGAAUCUGGAUUGUUCUCGGGAUUUCCGGCCUUUUCUUUGUGCACUCUAUGCUCCUAUUUGUAUGGAAUAUGGACGUGUCACACUUCCCUGUCGUAGGCUGUGUCAGCGGGCUUACAGUGAGUGUUCGAAGCUCAUGGAGAUGUUUGGUGUUCCUUGGCCUGAAGAUAUGGAAUGCAGUAGGUUCCCAGAUUGUGAUGAGCCAUAUCCUCGACUUGUGGAUCUGAAUUUAGCUGGAGAACCAACUGAAGGAGCCCCAGUGGCAGUGCAGAGAGACUAUGGUUUUUGGUGUCCCCGAGAGUUAAAAAUUGAUCCUGAUCUGGGUUAUUCUUUUCUGCACGUGCGUGAUUGUUCACCUCCUUGUCCAAAUAUGUACUUCAGAAGAGAAGAACUGUCAUUUGCUCGCUAUUUCAUAGGAUUGAUUUCAAUCAUUUGCCUCUCGGCCACAUUGUUUACUUUUUUAACUUUUUUGAUUGAUGUCACAAGAUUCCGUUAUCCUGAAAGGCCUAUUAUAUUUUAUGCAGUCUGCUACAUGAUGGUAUCCUUAAUUUUCUUCAUUGGAUUUUUGCUUGAAGAUCGAGUAGCCUGCAAUGCAUCCAUCCCUGCACAAUAUAAGGCUUCCACAGUGACACAAGGAUCUCAUAAUAAAGCCUGUACCAUGCUUUUUAUGAUACUCUAUUUUUUUACUAUGGCUGGCAGUGUAUGGUGGGUAAUUCUUACCAUCACAUGGUUUUUAGCAGCUGUGCCAAAGUGGGGUAGUGAAGCUAUUGAGAAGAAAGCAUUGCUGUUUCACGCCAGUGCGUGGGGCAUCCCCGGAACUCUAACCAUCAUCCUUUUAGCGAUGAAUAAAAUUGAAGGUGACAAUAUUAGUGGCGUGUGUUUUGUUGGCCUCUACGAUGUUGAUGCAUUGAGAUAUUUUGUUCUUGCUCCCCUCUGCCUGUAUGUGGUAGUUGGGGUUUCUCUCCUCUUAGCUGGCAUUAUAUCCCUAAACAGAGUUCGAAUUGAGAUUCCAUUAGAAAAGGAGAACCAAGAUAAAUUAGUGAAGUUUAUGAUCCGGAUUGGUGUUUUCAGCAUUCUUUAUCUCGUACCACUCUUGGUUGUAAUUGGAUGCUACUUUUAUGAGCAAGCUUACCGGGGCAUCUGGGAAACAACGUGGAUACAAGAACGCUGCAGAGAAUAUCACAUUCCAUGUCCGUAUCAGGCAGUUCCAAAAGGAAUCAGAAUUGUUUAUGAAAGGACCAUGAGGGAAAUGGGUUACUCAAAUGAGUCGUCCAGACUUGAUUCUCUUUCUGAUGAAAUACCUGAUGGCUCUCAUAGUUGGCAUUCCCUCUGUAUUUUGGGUUGGAAGCAAAAAGACAUGCUUUGAAUGGGCCAGUUUUUUUCAUGGUCGUAGGAAAAAAGAGAUAGUGAAUGAGAGCCGACAGGUACUCCAGGAACCUGAUUUUGCUCAGUCUCUCCUGAGGGAUCCAAAUACUCCUAUCAUAAGAAAGUCAAGGGGAACUUCCACUCAAGGAACAUCCACCCAUGCUUCUUCAACUCAGCUGGCUAUGGUGGAUGAUCAAAGAAGCAAAGCAGGAAGCAUCCACAGCAAAGUGAGCAGCUACCACGGCAGCCUCCACAGAUCACGUGAUGGCAGGUACACGCCCUGCAGUUACAGAGGAAUGGAGGAGAGACUACCUCAUGGCAGCAUGUCACGACUAACAGAUCACUCCAGGCAUAGUAGUUCUCAUCGGCUCAAUGAACAGUCACGACAUAGCAGCAUCAGGGAUCUCAGUAAUAAUCCCAUGACUCAUAUCACACAUGGCACCAGCAUGAAUCGGGUUAUUGAAGAAGAUGGAACCAGUGCUUAAUUUGUCUUGUCUAAGGUGGAAACCUUGUGCUGUUUAAAAAGCAGAUUUUAUUCUUUGCCUUUUGCAUGACUGAUAGCUGUAACUCACUGUUAACAUGCUUUCAGUCAAGUACAGAUUGUGUCCACUGGAAAGGUAAAUGUUUGCUUUUUUAUAUUGCAUCAAACUUGGAACAUCAAGGCAUCCAAAACACUAAGAAUUCUAUCAUCACAAAAAUAAUUCAUCUUUCUAGGUUAUGAAGAGAUAACUAUUUGUCUGGUAAGCAUUUUUAUAAACCCACUCAUUUUAUAUUUAGAAAAAUCCUAAAUGUGUGGUGACUGCUUUGUAGUGAACUUUCAUAUACUAUAAACUAGUUGUGAGAUAACAUUCUGGUAGCUCAGUUAAUAAAACAAUUUCAGAAUUAAAGAAAUUUUCUAUGCAAGGUUUACUUCUCAGAUGAACAGUAGGACUUUGUAGUUUUAUUUCCACUAAGUGAAAAAAGAACUGUGUUUUUAAACUGUAGGAGAAUUUAAUAAAUCAGCAAGGGUAUUUUAGCUAGUAGAAUAAAAGUGCAACAGAAGAAUUUGAUUAGUCUAUGAAAGAUUCUCUUAAAAUUCUAUCGAAAUAAUCUUCAUGCAGAGAUAUUCAGGGUUUGGAUUAGCAGUGGAAUAAAGAGAUGGGCAUUGUUUCCCCUAUAAUUGUGCUGUUUUUAUAACUUUUGUAAAUAUUACUUUUUCUGGCUGUGUUUUUAUAACUUAUCCAUAUGCAUGAUGGAAAAAUUUUAAUUUGUAGCCAUCUUUUCCCAUGUAAUAGUAUUGAUUCAUAGAGAACUUAAUGUUCAAAAUUUGCUUUGUGGAGGCAUGUAAUAAGAUAAACAUCAUACAUUAUAAGGUAACCACAAUUACAAAAUGGCAAAACAUUUUCUCUGUAUUCAUUGUUGUAUUUUUCUACAGUGAGAUGUGAUCUUGCCAAAGCCACCAGACUUUGGCUUCCAGGCCCUCCUAUAGUGAGUUGAUUGUCUGCACUUGCCUUGCCCAAUAGCCAGUAGGCUACAGCUUUUGCCCCACACCCUUAUUUUCAGAUUCUGGAUCAUUCUUGUUUACAACUGAAAUAUAUAUAACCUCAGUCCAAAGUGGUGAUUGAUUUGAGUAUUUGAAAAUUGUUGUAGCUAAAUGAAGCAUGAUUAGUUAGUCUUAGUAUGAAUAUCAUUUAAUCUUUAAAAAAUCAAGUAAAAAUGUUUAUCUGAUAAUGUUUAAAUAAUUUACAAUAUAAACUGUAAACCUUAUUAGGCAUGAAAUCAAUCAGAAGAGAAAGAAAAAUGCUGGAACAUGCUUGAUGUAUUAUGUAAAAAGCAUAUUUAAACAAGGGUCCUCAACCCUGACUGCAGAUAAGAAUCACUUGGGUUACUUCAGAUGCCUAACACCUUCCUCUCAUACAAAUAAGAAUUGGUAGCUUUCUUAAAAAAAAAAAAAAAAAAAGCGUUCCAGGUGAUUCUAAUCUGCAGCCUGGCUUGAAACUCACUACUUUAACUUGCCCCUGAUGAUCUGAUGGCAUCAUAUAUCACAUGAACAUCCACAUGGAUUCAGUCUUUCGCUUUUAUAUCAUUAUCUAAUAUUCAGUUGUUCUGCACCUGAUGCCAAAUUCUGGGCUCUACUCCUAGAGAGACUUACUCAGUAAGGCCAAAGUGAUAGGACUUUAAAAUCUGUAGUUAUAAAAAUACCGCAGGUGAUUCUUACGCAGGUAAUCCAAGAAUCAUACUUUGAAGAAUUAUUCUAGACUCUGAAGAGGCCUGGCUCUGCCUUACGCUAUUAUAGUUUAUGACCUUUAACAAUUUAACUCUCCGAGCCUCAGUUCCCUUGUUUGUAAAUGAAGACAGAAGAUAAAUACGUACUCUACCUACCUCACAAAGCUGUCAGAUUAAGAUCAAGUGAAAAAAAUUAUGUGAAAGCUCUUUGAAAACUGUAAAGCAUUAUGAAUGAUAAGGGAUUAGGUUAUUGUGGAUUUAAGAGGUGUGAGGACUGCUAUAGUACAUUCCUUGACGUGUGUUGAAUUCAUGUAUACUUACUUUCUUACCCUUUAAAACAAAAACUGCCAAGAAAUUAGGUGUUGAAAAAGAAUUUUCUCAUCAGGCAGCAAAGUCAGUUUUCUGAUAGUAAUAAUUUGUCUAUUAUGUUAUAUAUUUCAAAGUACAUGUAUGAUAAUAUGACUUAUUCUUCAUGAGAGAUAUUUGAAUAUUUGGCCCAAAAUGUUUUUCAUUUUUCUCUGUGUUCAUUGCCUUUCUCCUUGGAGCUGGAGUUAAUGCUCAAAGCAGGCAGGUCUGAAUUCCCUCAUAACUGACAAUUAGUAAACAUUUUCUCUGAAAGCCAAACAUAUAACAACUUAUUUAUCAAUAAUUCAUGAAGCUUUUGUCUGAGAAUCUCUCCUGCAAACAGCAUGAGAGAACUAAAACAAACAUUCACAAACAAAAAUAAGUUAAAAUAGAAGGUACCAGUUUGGGCUCGAAGAUGUUGUCAUCCAUUGCCAUCUGCAUUAUAUUAUCAACUGCCAAAAUGUUAAUUGGUUUUCUUUUACAAGUGGGCCAAGUAUAGACAGUUAAGUGAACAUCACUAUGAAAAUCUUAACUUUGUGCUUCUAGAUUUUUAGAUAAUCAUUUGUAUUUUCUCUAUUAAAUUAAUUGUGGGUAUGUAGGGAAUACUAUAUUGACUUUUCAGUUAGUUUCAGUAAGUAUCUUAAUUUUGUCCCACAAAAUUUAUGUAAUAUUAUUAAUCCAUGGUUUUAAACAACAGUAUUUAGUUUGGGCAGCAGUUUUAAGUCUAACUAGCUUAAACCAAUCUGAAUAAGUCUGGACAGUUUUCCUACCAUAUGUUUAACUUUGAUUGGCAUAUGAUAAUGUUUAGUGUUUUCUUUUUUCAGUUGACAACUGAGAAAAUAAUAGUUCUCUCUAACAUGUUAAUAUAUUAUCAAAAGGUUUUCAAAAAGUACUUUGAUUUCAGCAACAUUGUUUUAUUCAGUAACUAGACAAAAGAUCUAAGAUAAUAUUAAACUCAAAACAGUUUGUUUCAAAGAACAAUUGGUUAAUAACUCAGCUGGCACAGGGAUUCAUACACAGUUUUUCAAUAAAUAUUUAAAUGAACAAUUCAUGUCACACAACUUGCUUUUACCCUAGUACUGAGUCUCACAUCAAAGAAAUUUGAAAGAUCUAUAACCUAUGUGAAAUGAAGUCUCUGCUUUACCAGAAUAAUAUGUGGCAGGUAAUAAAUAUGUAAAGUACACCAAAUGAAACAUAUUUUGCAUAGAUAACAGUCCAUAUCACUAUUAUAAUUAAAGAAAUAUAUGUACAGACAUGUACCAAUCCUUUUAAUUAAUUUUAGAAGAUGAACAGUGAUUCUUAGAAGUGAGUAAUUAGACUCCUUUUAGUCUUAUGCUGUUAGAUCUUUGUGGACCAGCUGGGUAAAUGAAUCUUCAAAUCAACCUUUCUUUUUCUGCUGCUCUUAGAGCAGAUUUAUAAAAAUUCUAAGAAUAUCUUCAAAUUAGAAAAAUUUACUACAUUUUAACCUACCUCAUCAGUUUCUUUGUGAUAAUAGCUGAAAAUAAACUGUACCCAUCUUAGUUUAGGCUAUAUCUCUGUGAAAUGAAAGGAACCACUUAAUUUUUUUAUAUAAAUUAGUGAAUCAUUUGCUGGAGCUUAGAAAAUAUUAACAUACCAAAAUUUCAUUAUGAUAUUUAUAUUGCUUUUUGACAUGCCAAAGGUACAUUUACAUAUUACCAUAUUUGGAUGACUUACAUAGUCUGGUGUAAUGAAAAUUCCCCUGGGAUUGGAAUUUUAAGACUCAUGAUGUCAACUGGGCUGGUCAUUUUAUUUCUCUGAGUCUUUGUUUCUUCAAUGUAAAAUGUGGAUAAGGUAAUUUUUGGUUUUAGCCUCCCUCACUGGAUAUUGUAAGGAUCAAAUGAAAUAGUAUUUAUUAUAAUGCUCUGUAACCCAUAAAUUAUUCUACUUAAAUGUUUUUUUUAUAGAGACAGGGUCUUGCUCUGUCACACAGCCUGGAGAGCAGUGGCAUAAUCAUAGUUCAUUAUAACCUUGAACUCCUAGGCUCAAGCAGUCCUCCAGCUUCAGCCUCCCAAGUAGCUAAGACUGUAGGCAUGCACCACUACACCUGGCUAAUUUUAAUUUUUUUUUUCUUUUUUUGAGACGGAGUCUGGCUUUGUUGCCCAGGCUGGAGUGCAGUGGCACAAUCUCAGCUCACUGCAACCUCCACCUCCCGGGUUCAAGUGAUUCUUCUGCCUCAGCCUCCCGAGUAACUGGGACUACAGGUGCGUGCCACCACAUCCAGCUAGUUUUUGUAUUUUUAGUGGAGAUGGAGUUUUGCCAUGUUGGCCAGGAGUUUUGCCAUGUUGGUCUCAAACUCCUGACCUCAAGUGAUCCGCCCACCUCAGCCUCCCAAAGUGCUAGGAUUACAGGCAUGAGUCACUGCACCCGGCUUAAUUUUAAUUUUUUUAAUUUUUUGUAGAGAUGAGUCUCACUAUGUUGACCAGGCUGGUCUUGAACUCCUGGCCUCCUAAAGCACUGGGAUUACAAGCAUGAGCCACCAUGCCUGAUCCAUAAAUUGUUCUACUGAUACCAUUUGGUUUUGUUAGAAUUUGGGGGGGCUGUAGAAAACAAGGUUACAGUCUUCAUUAGUAUUUCUUUUUAGCAAUAACAACAAAAUAGGCAAUUAGACCAGUGUUCAUUUGGUACAGUCUUUAAAUCGGUCAUCCAAUUAACCUUUAAAAAGUAGGUUAUGCUCUUAAAUUGUAUUGGUUCUUUAAUAUGUGUUAUACCAGAGUAUGCACUCAAAUUUUAUGUAGUUGAAUUUGUAGAACAAAUUUGGGGAUAUUCAUUUUAUUUUUCCUUUUAUAUGAAAUUGUAUAAGUACAUUAGCUUGACUUAAAUUAUAAAAAAAAUAUAUAUGAAGAAGAAUGUAGACCCUAUAAUGUUCUUUGUCUUUGACUUUUUGGCUUUUAUGUACCUCAUUCUUUCUGAUUGAGAACAAGUUUUGAAAAAGUGAUUCACUUGUUGGUUUUCAUCAUGGCAAAACUUUAAAUUUUAAGUCAUCACACUAUGAGAAUUGUUUGUACACAUUUAUAAUUUUUUUGAAGUAUGUGAAGUAAGGAUUUUUUUCUCCAUUCUUCACUCACAAAGGAUAGCAUUUUUAUGGAACCUAGAUUUACAAAGGAACUCAUGAUUCUUUUCAAUGCUUUUAUGUCGUUUUACAGCUGAUUAAGAAAAAAUGUUUACAUUUAAUUCAGCUGUAUUUCCUAGUAGCUGUAUAAUCUUACACAUUAUUCUUAUAUAAUUUUGACCUAUUUUAUAUGAAAAUAAUUGUAUUGGCAUCUCUUCAUAAUUUAAUUCUCUUCUCUCCUUCUUUUGUUCCGAUUAGAUGAAUUUGGGAAAGGAGUAGGAAGACUAGGUAUCACAUGCCUUCCGUCUGAUUGUAAUCAGUCUCCUGGGUUUUUUACUAAUUUAAUCUUAAUCCUGUGCUUCUUUAGUCAUCAAAUUGAUAUAGGAUUACAAUUUUCUCUCAGGAUCCAAGUCUUCUAAGAAUGAAAAUGUUGAAGUCUACCCAGAACCAGCCAUCCUUGUAGACAUUUCUAUUUGGUUGAUUUAUAAAGAUUUAAUAUAUAAAGAUUUAAUAUGAGUUAAACAUGUUUUUUAUUCUGUGAUCUCUAAUUAGAAAGUAAAAUUCUGUUGCCAUAAAUAUAAAAGAAAGUUUUCACUUAUAUUUUAGUCAAACACCAAACCACUACAUUACUUACUUCCUAUAAGACACAGUAGUUCAAUCUGUUGAAAUGCAUUGAAGGAUAAUUUCCUUCAGAUUACUUUUUAAAUCAUCAUCUGCCUCAGGAAAUUCUUUCUUGAAUUUUUUUGUUGGUGUGAAAGCGUUGCUUAUACUUUAUGCUCGUUUUAUUGGUCACUGUCACCAGUUUUUCCCAAUAAAGAUUAAAAAUGUUUUUUACCUUGAAAUAAUUCAGAUUUUGAAGAUUCACUGUUUCAUUAUUUUGCUAAUUACCAUUAACUAGUAAAGUUAGUUUUUAAAGUUUUUUUAAGGUUGAUAUUUUAUCAUAUUCCUGGAGUAGGAUGGAUUACUUUAUUAUUAUUGUAGCUUUACGGUUUUUUGUUGUAUAAGUCAGCUUGUUUGUAUAUGCUAAAUUGCAGAUAUUUCUUUGUGUUGUGCUUAUUGGUUUUUUUUUUUUUAACUUAGAGCUUAAUAAUUUCUAUUUUCUAUCCUGGAGUCUAAAAUUAAACAAAAAAAUCUAUUUUCUAAAUUGGCAGGAUUUUUUUAAUGAUUAGUAAAAAUGUAUUAUUUUAUUUUAAAAAAUACAAUAGGAUUUUGAGUCAAGAAACUUGACUUCUACUCUUGCCUCUCUUUUGCAGUUAGCUGUGUAACUUUGGAUAAGGCAUUUUGUCUCAUGGUGCCUCCAUUUUUCUCAUUCUCUAGGGAACAAGAGAAUUAGUUUAGGUAGCGUCUAAAAUUCCGCCCAGCUCUCAUUUGGUUCUCAUUUGACCAUUUUAUAAUCAUUAUUUUGGUCUCAUUUUUAUUCUUCUUAUUCAUCCCAUGAACUAGAUCAACUUGUAUUAUUUUACUAGAUCAACCUGUAUUAUUAACGUCAUUUACAUGUAAAUUGAUGGGAUUCAGAUAUUUUAUCAACUGUUUUUCCAUUAGUGAUUUUAAGUAAUUUUAAAGAAGGAAAAUUAUAUUACAGAUAAUAAAAAUGAAAGAAAGUUAUAAAUAUUGGACAUGGCUUUUUUAAAUGGGAAAGUCUUCUUAAGCACCAAUAUAAGCACCUUAAAUUGAUACAUAGAAAAGAAUGACAUAACGUUUUGUGGUCUUUGUUCUCUUAAAUAUGAAUAUAGCUAGUUAGCCUAAAAUUUACACAAAAUGUAUUCAAGAUCAAAUUAGUGAACAAAGCAAUGGUUCGUAUGGCUAAUUUAAAAGCAAUUCAAUUUACCAAUAUUAAAAUAAUUAUAAAAUGUAAAAGAAAAUUCAGAGGAGUUGAUUGAAAAUUUUUUGUUCAGUAAUUAUUCUUAAACUGCAUUCUUAGGUUUAUUACAUAAAUAUAGUUGCCAGAUUGCCAUGGGCAAGUGAAUGUCUUCAUUUGAAAUAUUAUUAGAGAUCAAUGUGGCUUGUUAUUUUUAAUUUUUUUCUGGCUAUACAGAAAAUGUUUCUGGAAAAAUUCCUUAAUUGUCAUCUGAUACCAUGUAGAGAUUGAGGCCAGACGCAGUGGCUCACGCCUGUAAUCCCAGCACUUUGGGAGGCCGAGGUGGGCAGAUCACUUGAGGUCAGGAGUUUGAGACCAGCCUGAUCAACAUGGCAAAUCCCCUUCUGUACUAAAAAUACAAAAAUUAGCCAGGCGCAGUGGCUCACACCUGUAAUCCCAACACUUUGGGAGGCCGAGGCGGGCGCAUCACGAGGUCAGGAGAUCAAGACCGUCCUGGCUAACAUGGUGAAACCCUGUCUCUACUAAAAACACAAAAAAAUUAGCCGGGCAUGGUGGCGGGCACCUGUAGUCCCAGCCACUCGAGAGGCUGAGGCAGGAGAAUGGCGUGAACCCGGGAGGCGGAGCUUGCAGUGAGCUGAGAUCGCACCGCUGCACUCCAGCCUGGGCAAUGGAGCGAGACUCUAUCUCAAAAAAAAAAAAAAAAAAAAAAAAAAAGAA